CCAAAGGCUCUUCUAAGAGCCACCAACUUGUUCUUUCAGAGCUAU
Molecule: non-coding RNA, 45 nt
Filed under: Pelobates cultripes (western spadefoot toad)
Lineage: Eukaryota; Metazoa; Chordata; Amphibia; Anura; Pelobatidae
Rfam family: Histone 3' UTR stem-loop
About the family: The mRNAs of metazoan histone genes lack a poly-A tail. 3' end processing occurs at a site between a highly conserved stem-loop (modelled by this family) and a purine rich region around 20 nts downstream (the histone downstream element, or HDE).
Source: RNAcentral